This 27-nucleotide non-coding RNA is filed under the name Rattus norvegicus (Norway rat). Lineage: Eukaryota; Metazoa; Chordata; Mammalia; Rodentia; Muridae. The record is from RNAcentral.
UACAGACACCCAGAAGGAAACGCUGGC